GAUGAACGCUAGCGGCAGGCCUAACACAUGCAAGUCGAGGGGUAGAGUUCUUCGGGACUUGAGACCGGCGCACGGGUGCGUAACGCGUAUGCAAUCUACCUUAUACAGGGGAAUAGCCCAGAGAAAUUUGGAUUAAUGCCCCAUAGUAUUAUGAAAUCGCAUGGUUUUAUAAUUAAAGUUCCAACGGUAUAAGAUGAGCAUGCGUCCCAUUAGUUAGUUGGUAAGGUAACGGCUUACCAAGACAAUGAUGGGUAGGGGUCCUGAGAGGGAGAUCCCCCACACUGGUACUGAGACACGGACCAGACUCCUACGGGAGGCAGCAGUGAGGAAUAUUGGUCAAUGGUCGCAAGACUGAACCAGCCAUGCCGCGUGCAGGAAGACGGUCCUAUGGAUUGUAAACUGCUUUUAUACAGGAAGAAACCCUCCCACGUGUGGGAGCUUGACGGUACUGUAGGAAUAAGGAUCGGCUAAACUCCGUG
This 479-nucleotide ribosomal RNA is filed under the name uncultured bacterium. RNAcentral describes it as "bacterial SSU rRNA". It matches the Rfam family "Bacterial small subunit ribosomal RNA", at positions 28 to 507 of the family's 1533-position model. The record is from RNAcentral.